RNAcentral lists this unclassified non-coding RNA (22 nucleotides) under Dictyostelium discoideum. Lineage: Eukaryota; Evosea; Eumycetozoa; Dictyosteliales; Dictyosteliaceae. The record is from RNAcentral.
GGGGAAACCUUCGUCAACUGUC